Long non-coding RNA from Pecten maximus, 256 nucleotides. RefSeq lists it as uncharacterized. NCBI's taxonomy places the organism in Eukaryota, Metazoa, Mollusca, Bivalvia, Pectinida, Pectinidae. The transcript is spliced from 2 exons. The record is from RefSeq and is a predicted model, not a curated record.
CAACGUGGUUGCUAUAUAGAUCUUGCCAAUCAGAACGCGAGGUCGAUUGUCCGCCAUUACUUCUGUCAACUUGUCGGACCCCAGUUGAACACCGCGAGAAUACAUAUGUAAAGAGAAAAUGGUGAAAACGUGCUCGUGGGGAACUGACAACAGUUACGGCCGAUACCCUGAUAGAUUGGAGGGCGGUGUUGUAUAUUCUACAAUUCAUGGAACCUAAAACAUACAGCUUUGGAAGUUUUGUCAGCCGCAGCUGAAA